AUCUAAGGCCGUGCCACUCUGAACCCACCCAAUCUCGGAAGCUAAGUGGGGUAGAGCCUGGUUAGUACUUGGAUGGGAGAAGUAGUUUGCCUUUCCGUAAGAAUGCCUCAGUGUCUUUCUUG
RNAcentral lists this ribosomal RNA (122 nucleotides) under Carlito syrichta (Philippine tarsier). The record is from RNAcentral. Lineage: Eukaryota; Metazoa; Chordata; Mammalia; Primates; Tarsiidae.